RNAcentral lists this ribosomal RNA (253 nucleotides) under uncultured bacterium. RNAcentral describes it as "partial 16S ribosomal RNA". It matches the Rfam family "Bacterial small subunit ribosomal RNA", at positions 524 to 776 of the family's 1533-position model. The record is from RNAcentral.
GACGAACCGAGCGAACGUUAUUCGGAAUCACUGGGCUUAAAGGGUGCGUAGGCGGGCACGCGAGUCAGGGGUGAAAUCCCACGGCCCAACCGUGGAAGUGCCUCUGAUACCGCGGGCCUCGAGGGGGAUAGGGGCGUGCGGAACUUCCGGUGGAGCGGUGAAAUGCGUAGAUAUCGGAAGGAACACCGGUGGCGAAAGCGGCGCGCUGGAUCCCUACUGACGCUGAGGUGCGAAAGCGUGGGGAGCAAACAGG